Molecule: ribosomal RNA, 492 nt
Filed under: uncultured bacterium
Lineage: Bacteria
Description: partial 16S ribosomal RNA
Rfam family: Bacterial small subunit ribosomal RNA
Source: RNAcentral
AGUGAACGCUGGCGGUAGGCCUAACACAUGCAAGUCGAACGGCAGCACAGUAAGAGCUUGCUCUUACGGGUGGCGAGUGGCGGACGGGUGAGGAAUACAUCGGAAUCUACUUUUUCGUGGGGGAUAACGUAGGGAAACUUACGCUAAUACCGCAUACGACCUACGGGUGAAAGCAGGGGAUCUUCGGACCUUGCGCGAUUGAGUGAGCCGAUGUCGGAUUAGCUAGUUGGCGGGGUAAAGGCCCACCGAGGCGACGAUCCGUAGCUGGUCUGAGAGGAUGAUCAGCCACACUGGAACUGAGACACGGUCCAGACUCCUACGGGAGGCAGCAGUGGGGAAUAUUGGACAAUGGGCGCAAGCCUGAUCCAGCCAUACCGCGUGGGUGAAGAAGGCCUUCGGGUUGUAAAGCCCUUUUGUUGGGAAAGAAAGGCAGCAGGUUAAUACCCCGCUGUUCUGACGGUACCCAAAGAAUAAGCACCGGCUAACUUCGUG